UCAUGGUCACGCUCUGAAUGCCGUGGGAGGGAAGCCCGGCACAGUCUUCCCGUAGGGCACUUGGGACUUUUGUGAUCCGUGUUUGGCGUCGCUGCGUUUUCACAGAGCAGCAAGCCUGGCUGGACCCCGUGCCCAGAGCCCCUCCCCAUCAACUCCGCCAGUUCCACUCCAGCCAGAAACAAUGCAUCGGCCAGGAGCGAAGCCAGGGCAACGUUGCUGUGCGUUUCUUUAGUGGCAAGUUCAGAGCAUCCCUGCCCAACCCCCUCGGCCCCUCCCCCUUGUGAAACGCAGCGCCGGUUAUACCACCCCCGGAGCUCCUGGGGGCGCUGUUCGCGUAGACUAAAACAUGGAUGUCGCCUUCGGAAGGCUUGAGCCACAGCUGCACGGAUUCCCCGUGACCCACUCAUGACCUGGCCACAGAGACCCAUGUCGAGUCCCGGUUAACAAGGAAGUGUGUGGUUCAAGAAAGAGGAAGAAAUUGGCAGCUGUCAUUGAAGCCUUUCCAUGAAUUCAGAUAGGCAAGUCCAAGGCAGGACCUCUCAGGAAGCCAGCACGAGGCUCCUUGGAGGUAGAGAUGAUUAGAAAUCUUGGAGCAAUUAUGGAAAAUUGAUUGAAUUGCAGGAUAAAAGAGUACCUUCAUUUUGGCAAGAUGAUUUGGGACUCUUCUUGAUACUCCUCUCUGUGGACGCGGGGAACGGUUGGCCAGACAAGUCAUCCCUAUCAUGUACAUUGUACACUUGCUGUGCUCUGCAUUGAAAUCACAAAGAUGAAUAAAACAUGGUCCUUGCCUUGGAGAAACUCAGCAUGGUGAGCGAGACAUCUAUGUGAAGAAGUAAUUAUGAUACACUUUGAUAAAUGCUGUAAUUCAGUCAUUUGCAAAAUGCUGUGUGUGAUGGGACAAGCAGGUGACCUUGUAGUUGGUUGAAGAACAUUAAUUAUUCAACAUCAAGAUAGAGGGAGGUCUCUUCUGUGCCACAAAGAUGUAUAUCAAUUCUGUGUUAUCUAUGCUCUUUUUUAAAAGUUUAUAGGAAGACAUCAAAGUCAUGUUGAUCAAACUUGUCAAUGACAGCAGCUCAUGGGGGCUAGCUAGUACAUUGGCCAUGGAGCAGGCUUCAGAAAAUCCUUCAAAAUAUAGAAAACGUAUGUCAAGACU
Mustela erminea (ermine) is the source of this 1153-nucleotide long non-coding RNA. RefSeq lists it as uncharacterized. The transcript is spliced from 3 exons. NCBI's taxonomy places the organism in Eukaryota, Metazoa, Chordata, Mammalia, Carnivora, Mustelidae. The record is from RefSeq and is a predicted model, not a curated record.